RNAcentral lists this ribosomal RNA (448 nucleotides) under uncultured bacterium. RNAcentral describes it as "bacterial SSU rRNA". It matches the Rfam family "Bacterial small subunit ribosomal RNA", at positions 29 to 506 of the family's 1533-position model. The record is from RNAcentral.
AUGAACGCUGGCGGCGUGCCUAAUACAUGCAAGUCGAGCGGUCCGCAAGGAUAGUGGCGAACGGGUGAGUAACGCGUUGGUGACCUGCCCUGAAGAGGGGGAUACCGGAUCGAAAGGUCCGCUAAUACCGCAUAAUGUCUCGCUAGUUAGAGAGGCGAGAAGAAAGCCGAAAGGCGCUUUAGGAGGGACCUGCGUCCCAUCAGCUAGUUGGUAGGGUAGUGGCCUACCAAGGCGAUGACGGGUAGGGGACCUGAGAGGGUGGCCCCCCACAAUGGAACUGAAACACGGUCCAUACACCUACGGGUGGCAGCAGUAGGGAAUAUUGGUUAAUGGGCGAAAGCCUGACCCAGCAACGCCGCGUGAACGAUGAAGGCCUUCGGGUCGUAAAGUUCUUUUUACAGGGAUGAGGAAGGACAGUACCUGUAGAAUAAGUCUCGGCUAACUACGU